RNAcentral lists this ribosomal RNA (263 nucleotides) under uncultured bacterium. Its description in RNAcentral is "partial 16S ribosomal RNA". It matches the Rfam family "Bacterial small subunit ribosomal RNA", at positions 334 to 594 of the family's 1533-position model. The record is from RNAcentral.
UGUGCCUACGGGGGGCAGCAGUGAGGAAUAUUGGUCAAUGGGCGCGAGCCUGAACCAGCCAAGUAGCGUGAAGGAUGACUGCCCUACGGGUUGUAAACUUCUUUUAUAAAGGAAUGAAGUGAGGCACGUGUGCCUUUUUGUAUGUAUUUUAUGAAUAAGGAUCGGCUAACUCCGUGCCAGCAGCCGCGGUAAUACGGAGGAUCCGGGCGUUAUCCGGUUUUAUUGGGUUUAAAGGGAGCGUAGUUGGGUUGUUAAGCCAGUUG